UAUGGUUCCUGAUUAAAGCCAUGAUGUACACAAGUGUUUAUAGGGAAUCGAUCUUACCGGGAUCGAAUCCCACUACGGUAACAUACGAGGGUAUCCAAACAACACAUACUAUCCAAAUAAAAAAAUAUGGAGUUCCGGUUUAGACCAUGGGCGUGCGACGACCCCGAUGAAAUUCGGGAUAUCACGGUCUUCGUUAAUGUUAAUAAGCGUCCGUCAGAUCAGUAGGCGAAACGCAAUAUCCGCACAAUAAGAUGUCUGCGACUCGAAAGAAUAUUCAAAGUAAGCUGUUAAUUUUGUUGCGUCAGAAGCUAAUCAGCCGGUAACGUGACUACACUGAUAUAGAUUGUGAUACAAACAUGCUUUAUUCAAUACUGAGUAGCAUUUUUAAACGGCGACAUUUUGAACAUUUUCAUAUUUAGAGUGAGAGUGGAUACACGUUACACUGGCGGCGACAUUUUGAAAAUUUGAGGAAACAAAAACAUUCUCCAACGAGUUUUUCAGCUCGGGGAAUGAAAGAAUAGAUUCACCUUUGUGUCGCUUUUCAGAUCGUAUUUAAUUCCUUUCCGGUACUUUAGUUUCUAUGAACUUCUUUGUUACUAAGCCUAUAUUGAAUUUUUAAAAUUAAGAAAUCCGUGAUUUUACUUGCAGGCAUGACUGAUUAAUGGAAUUAUUUUACUUUUAUAUAGAAUAUGGACGGCACUCCAUUACAGCAUGUGCAUGGUUGGACCUGUUGACAUUUUUAGAAACGCAUAUUGGUCUAUUAUACAGAGUAUUGUUGUACUGCUCCAAAGUGCUUGUUGACAGACUGAAACCACUUGCUUGAGGCUCAUAAGGUUCACUUCUUGAGAGAAGGCAGCUACAAAAUGGAAGGUCAACAAAUCCAGUAUACUUGGAAAGCAGAAAGAAACACCAGAAAAUAUAAAAAGACAGAAGA
Mercenaria mercenaria is the source of this 934-nucleotide long non-coding RNA. RefSeq lists it as uncharacterized. The transcript has 3 exons. Lineage: Eukaryota; Metazoa; Mollusca; Bivalvia; Venerida; Veneridae. The record is from RefSeq and is a predicted model, not a curated record.